This 405-nucleotide ribosomal RNA is filed under the name uncultured bacterium. RNAcentral describes it as "partial 16S ribosomal RNA". It matches the Rfam family "Bacterial small subunit ribosomal RNA", at positions 30 to 526 of the family's 1533-position model. The record is from RNAcentral.
AUUGAACGCUGGCGGCAGGCUUAACACAUGCAAGUCGAACGAGUGGCGGACGGGUGUGUAAUGCUUGGGAAUUUAGUAUAUGGAUGGGGAUAACUACGGGAAACUGUAGCUAUUACGGCGUACCAUAGGAUGAGCCCUAGGGGGAUUAUGUAGUUGGUGAGGUAAAGGCUAACCAAGCCGACGAUCUCUAGCUGGUCUGAGAGGAUGACCGGCCACACUGGGACUGAGACACGGCCCAGACUCCUACGGGAGGCAGCAGUGGGGAAUAUUGCGCAAUGGGGGCAACCUGACGCAGCCAUGCCGCGUGAAUGAAGAAGGCCUUCGGGUUGUAAAGUUCUUUCGGUAGCGAGGCGUUACCUACAGAAAAAGCACCGGCUAACUCCGUGCCAGCAGCCGCGGUAAUUC